Small nucleolar RNA from Zingiber officinale, 107 nucleotides. The record is from RefSeq and is a predicted model, not a curated record. Lineage: Eukaryota; Viridiplantae; Streptophyta; Magnoliopsida; Zingiberales; Zingiberaceae.
AGCCCAUGGUGAGGACACUAUCUUAAUAAACUUUUAAAUCUAUCUCAUGUUUCAAAUAAUGAUUCUCCAUUUGUCUGAGUAAAAUUUGUAAUACAAUUCUUUAUGUA